RNAcentral lists this long non-coding RNA (280 nucleotides) under Vulpes vulpes (red fox). RNAcentral's name for it is "lncRNA (ENSVVUG00000029362.1)". The record is from RNAcentral. Lineage: Eukaryota; Metazoa; Chordata; Mammalia; Carnivora; Canidae.
CACAGGCUAAGGCAUGAUGCAUUCCUCCAGCAGAAUGGUGGUGUCUAUCAGUCAGGGGAUUUGUAAUCAGAUCUGCAAUCAGACGGGUAAGAAGUGCUGACUCCAGUUUUCCAAGGUGAAUAUAAGAACAAAGAAUAUCCAAGGAGCAUCUGGACUCUUCAGACUUGAGAUUCAUAUGCAUUUCAUUUUCUCCAUAUUGGCAGGGUUUGUACGCACACGCGCUUUCCCUGCACCCCAUGCCACAGCAUUGGAAGAACCUCAUUCAACACUUGGUGCAUGA